GCGUCCAUAGCUCAGCUGGAUAGAGUACCGGACUUCGAAUCCGUAGGUCGCAGGUUCGAAUCCUGCUGGGCGCG
RNAcentral lists this transfer RNA (74 nucleotides) under Candidatus Haliotispira prima. RNAcentral describes it as "Spirochaetaceae bacterium SP-2023 tRNA-Arg". It matches the Rfam family "tRNA". Rfam says of the family: Transfer RNA (tRNA) molecules are approximately 80 nucleotides in length. Their secondary structure includes four short double-helical elements and three loops (D, anti-codon, and T loops). The record is from RNAcentral. Lineage: Bacteria; Pseudomonadati; Spirochaetota; Spirochaetia; Spirochaetales; Spirochaetaceae.